AGAGUUUGAUCCUGGCUCAGAUUGAACGCUGGCGGCAUGCUUUACACAUGCAAGUCGAACGGCAGCGGGGUAGUGCUUGCACUACUGCCGGCGAGUGGCGAACGGGUGAGUAAUAUAUCGGAACGUACCGAGUAAUGGGGGAUAACCAAUCGAAAGAUUGGCUAAUACCGCAUACGUCCUAAGGGAGAAAGCGGGGGAUCGCAAGACCUCGCGUUAUUCGAGCGGCCGAUAACUGAUUAGCUAGUUGGUGGGGUAAAGGCCUACCAAGGCGACGAUCAGUAGCGGGUCUGAGAGGACGAUCCGCCACACUGGGACUGAGACACGGCCCAGACUCCUACGGGAGGCAGCAGAAGGG
RNAcentral lists this ribosomal RNA (355 nucleotides) under uncultured Eikenella sp. RNAcentral describes it as "bacterial SSU rRNA". It matches the Rfam family "Bacterial small subunit ribosomal RNA", at positions 8 to 359 of the family's 1533-position model. Lineage: Bacteria; Pseudomonadati; Pseudomonadota; Betaproteobacteria; Neisseriales; Neisseriaceae. The record is from RNAcentral.